Molecule: ribosomal RNA, 433 nt
Filed under: uncultured bacterium
Lineage: Bacteria
Description: partial 16S ribosomal RNA
Rfam family: Bacterial small subunit ribosomal RNA
Source: RNAcentral
AACGAACGCUGGCGGCAUGCCUAACACAUGCAAGUCGAACGAGACCUUCGGGUCUAGUGGCGCACGGGUGCGUAACGCGUGGGAACCUGCCCUUAGGCUCGGAAUAACUCCCCGAAAGGGGUGCUAAUACCGGAUAAUGUCUUCGGACCAAAGAUUUAUCGCCUUUGGAUGGGCCCGCGUUGGAUUAGCUAGUUGGUAGGGUAAAAGCCUACCAAGGCGACGAUCCAUAGCUGGUCUGAGAGGAUGAUCAGCCACACUGGGACUGAGACACGGCCCAGACUCCUACGGGAGGCAGCAGUGGGGAAUAUUGGACAAUGGGCGAAAGCCUGAUCCAGCAAUGCCGCGUGAGUGAUGAAGGCCUUAGGGUUGUAAAGCUCUUUUACCCGGGAUGAUAAUGACAGUACCGUGAGAAUAAGCUCCGGCUAACUCCGUG